GUGAGGAAUUUUCCGCAAUGGGCGAAAGCCUGACGGAGCAAUGCCGCGUGAAGGAUGAAGGCCUAUGGGUUGUAAACUUCUUUUCUCAGAAAAGAAUUAUGACGGUAUCUGAGGAAUAAGCAUCGGCUAACUCUGUGCCAGCAGCCGCGGUAAGACAGAGGAUGCAAGCGUUAUCCGGAAUGAUUGGGCGUAAAGCGUCUGUAGGUUGUUUAAAAAGUAUUCUGUCAAAGAUUAGGGCUUAACCCUAGAUAGGCAGAAUAAACUUUUAAGCUAGAGUUUGGUAGAGGCAGAGGGAAUUCCCGGUGGAGCGGUGAAAUGCGUAGAUAUCGGGAGGAACACCAAAGGCGAAGGCACUCUGCUGGGCCAAUACUAACACUGAGAGACGAAAGCGAGGGGAGCAAAUGGGAUUAGAAACCCUUGUGUCC
RNAcentral lists this ribosomal RNA (425 nucleotides) under uncultured bacterium. Its description in RNAcentral is "partial 16S ribosomal RNA". It matches the Rfam family "Bacterial small subunit ribosomal RNA", at positions 354 to 796 of the family's 1533-position model. The record is from RNAcentral.